RNAcentral lists this long non-coding RNA (4451 nucleotides) under Homo sapiens (human). Its description in RNAcentral is "HSALNT0332100". The record is from RNAcentral. Lineage: Eukaryota; Metazoa; Chordata; Mammalia; Primates; Hominidae.
AACCAAGCAAAAGUCACUGUCAGGGGACCUCCCACCCACCAUACAGGGGAACACUCGGCAGAGCCAGAGGCCUGGGCCCAAGUCCUGCCACCAGCUGGCUGUGAAACUGUGGUACAGCACCUUGUGUCCUGCCACCAGCCGGCUGUGAAACUGGUACAGCACCUUGUCCUCAGGUCCUUGGUUUCCUCACUUGUAAAUUCAUGGUUCUCCAUGGCAUCUCUGGUCUUCAACAUUAUUUUGCAUAGAGUCUCAGAAGCUUUAGUGUGAGCGGAUGAUAUGGGCACGAAGCAAGGCACCCAGAAGUGGGGGCAACUACUCUGCUUUCUAAAAUGCAAGGGAACCGGAAAAUCCAGGAGCCGUGCCAAAUGAGAAGAGGAACAAAUGGAGGAACAUCCCAGUCAAGUGACAUUCCUAGUGACAUUCACCAGAACAGAGUCAAGCUUUGGAUCCCAUGUUCUGUGACUUCCUCUUCACCACGCUUCCUCCACACACGUAGCAGCUCAAGGGUUUCUGAUGAGUGGGGUCUAUGUUCCCUUUAUGAGCUGUAACGCACACCAUGAAGGUCUGCGGCUUGGCUAUUGAGUCAGUGAGAGCGUGAACCUACUAUUAGAAGAAAAACUCUGAAUACGUCUGAACGUCAGAAAGAACGAAGUUUGGACACAUUGUCUUUAAGAACUGUAACACUCACCCCAAGGGUUUAUGGAUUCAUUCUUGAAAUCAGUGAAACCAAAAGCUUUCCAAAGUUUAACACACAGGGAAAUGACUUACUGCAAAGAACCACUCUUCCCCACGAGACUUCGAGAAGACCCGCUGUCACGGACUGAGUUGUGUCCUCUUAAAAUUCAGAUGUUGGAGUCCAAACCCCCAGUAACUCAGAGUGUGAACGUAUUUGAAGAGGUCUUUAAAGAGGUGAUGAAGGUCUUUGUCUCUGACAAUUUGCCUCUGUGACGUGGAUGGGACUGGAAGUCCAUUUGGAGCCCUGUCUUCUCCACCUAGGGAGAGAGACCCCAUGAGCUCGUCAAGCUCCUUCUGUGACUGAUCAGAGAUCCCACCGUGAGUCCAGCUCCUGGUCCCAUGCUCUGGAUAUAUCGGUCCCUGGCAGCGUGAGUGCCUCUGUGUUCACUGUCCCAUUUGAGAAUUCUAAGUAGAAUUCUGAACAGGCUGGAGCAGAUUGCCCACCCCAAGGGACAGAUGUUGGCUGGUACUGUUGGUAUUCAUGGAAGAUUCCUUCUGACACUCCCUCCUUCUUUGUAAUUGCCAUGAACUGGAGCACUGGGCCAAUAUAAAUCAUCCAAGGGUGAACACGCUGCACAUGGACGGCUCCUCUUUGUUUUUGAAGGGAUUCCAUCUCUAUUUUGCCAUGUGCUCCUUCACCCCACUCCCCACCCCCGUCUUUCAUUUCUUUCUCUGGAAAAGAUACUUCAACUCACAGGACUGCGAUGUUGAAACGGACACCCAAGAGCAUCACAGAUGGGCCAGGCCUGGACCUCUCGGGACAACAUUCCUCACGACUUUUAGAUAGAAGAGAUUAGAGAUUUGGGACUGGUGGCAACUGGUAACGUUUUCAGUGUUUGGUAAACAGCCAGGGUCCGGAGCUCUGGGAACAGCCUGAUUUAGCUCUUUGUUUAAGUUUUGUGUUAGAGGCUCCCAAGAAGCUGAUGCAGGGGAAAGAAAUUAACAACCAUGGCUCAUUCACAGCCAGGCAGCCAAAUGGACAGCUCUAUAAGACUCAAGCCGACAGCGGAGAGAGUGCAACCAAACAGCCUUGGCCCAGCUUUCAGAGGAGAACGUUAUUCACCCCAACUGCUCUGCAUCUGCCUGGAUGUCUGCCAAGAUCUGUGAGCAUUACAGCGUUGGUAUGCUUUGGGUGAGGCCUGUGGCUAUGGCAACAAGUUGGGAGCAACCCGGUCCCUGGGAAUGAGAACAGUGUCUAAAAUCAGGCAGGCGAGGGGCAGGGAGGAGAGGUAAAGGUUGGACUUGCCUGAAGAUGGAGCCGUUUUAUUGUUGUGGGUAAAGCUGCUACCAUUAGGGGCUGUUUACAGAGUGGGUGCAGCUCAAGCUGGGAGCAUGUUAGACUCAGCGACUACGAUCAACCUAUUGACUUGUUCCCAUGAGACAGAGUAAAUUAACUGUUGCAGUACUGGUCAUGUACCACCAACCUCCUGUGAACCAGCCCUCAGUGAAACAUUUAUGUGAAAGGCCAUGGUGUUCCCAUAAGAGGGUGCAUGUUCUCUCCCUUGACUAACUCUUCAGUAUGCCUCAUUCUCACGCGCUGGUGUGCAGGAAGGAGUCCAACAUGCCCCAUUGACAGUCAUGCCCUGUAUGUGGAAAGUCUUCAGGUAGAGCACUGGGCUCAGGUUUGAAGAUGUGAGUUCUAAUCCUAGCAAGGCCAUUACCUCCCAGUGACCUCAUGUCUCGAUUUCCUCAACCACAAAACAAAGGCAUUGGUGAGCUGACCUCUAAGGCCUCUCCAGUUCUCACCUUCUGUGUCUCUACAGACUGGAGACUAGAAGAUUAUGGGCACUUUUAUUGAGUCUUCAUUUUGUUUCCAUUUCUUUGUAGUCAUCAGCUGGAGUUGAGGACAAGUUUUAACAAUAGAUAGGUUUCUUUUUGUCUCUUUUUAAAAAAUUUUAUUUAAAAUAAAUGCCAAGUGUAGUGGCUCAUACCUGUAAUCCCAGCACUUUGGGGAGGCCAAGGUGGGAGGAUUGCUUUUGAGUUUGAGACCAGCCUGGGCAACGUGGUGAGACCCUGUUUGUACAAAAAAUUUUAAAUUAGCCAGGCAUGGUGGCGUGUGCCUAUAGUCCUAGCUACUCUGGAGGUAGAGGCAGGAGGAUCCCUUGAACCUGGGAGGUUGAGGCCACAGUGAGCUGUGAUUGUGCUAUUGAACUCUAGCCUGGGCAACAGAGCAAGACCCUGUCUCUUAAAAAAGACUAUUUUUUAAGAACACUUUUAGGUUCACAGCGAAAUUUGGAGGAAACUUGGCAUAUGUCAUAUGCCCCCUGCUCCCAUGCAUGCACAGCCUCUACCAUUAGCAAUGUCCCCACUCAAAUGGUACCUUUGUUGUAAUCAACAACCCUGUACUGACACAUCAUCAUCACCCAAACUCCAUAGUUCACAUUAGGUUUCACUCUUGGUGUGGUGUACAUUCCAUGGGCUUGAACAACUGUAUAAUGACAUUAUCCACCACUGCAGGAUCAUACAGAGUAGUCUCACUGCCCUAAAACUACUCUGUGCUCCACCUGUUUGUCCCUUCUUUCACUCUAAACUCCUGGCAACAACUGACCUUUUUACUGCCUCGAUAGCUUUGCCUUCUUCGGAAUGUCAUGUAGUUGAAAUCAUACAUCAUGAAGCCUUUUCAGAUUGGCUUCAUAUAGGUUUCCUUCCUUCCUUCCUCCCACCACCUUCCUUUCUUUCUGUAUUCCUAACUCUUGGAUGUAUUUUCCCCAGCAUCAUGACUUGAUGGGACUUUUGCUAAGAUAGGCAAUCAUAGAAAGUCAUAAAUCUCUUGUCAGCCUUAUUGGCUCACCUCCGAGAUGGUUCCAACACUCUUUAAGGCCCACUUUUCCAAUCCACAGAUUCCCCAGCAGAAGUCCAAGCUGCUGAGCCUCACAUCAUCUUUUGCACUAGUAAUCUUUACCACUACUUCACUGUAGCAUUUGAAAAUUUUCAUAUGAAGCCAUAGUUCUGUGUCUUUUUUUUUUUUUUUUUUUUUUUGGAGACGGAGUCUUAACCUGUUGCCCAGGCUGGAGUGCAGUGGCACAGUCUUAGCUCACUGCAAGCUCCGCCUCACGGGUUCAAGUGAUUCUUGCCUCAGCCUCCCAAGUAGCUGGGAUUACAGGCGCGCCACCAUGCCCAGCUAAAUUUGUUGGCAUUUUUAGUAGAGAUGGGGUUUCACCAUGUUGGCCAGGCUGGUCUCAAACUCCUUACCUCAGGUGAUCUGCCUGCCUCAGCCUCCCAAAGUGCUGGGAUUAAAGGUGUGAGCCACCGCACCUGGCCUGAAGCCAUAGUUCUUAACCUCAGUUGUGCAAUAGAAUUAUCUGGGGAAUUUAAAAAUUAGAAAAAACCCAUGCCCUGAAGAUUGUGAUCUAACUGGUCUUGCGUAGCGCCUGGGCAUUGGUAUUUUUUAAAUGUUUCCCAACUGAUACUAAUGUGGCCAUUCUGCAAGCCACAGUUGAAAGGCUUAUUCAAGCAUCCUGUUGCUGAAUGCAUGUCGUCCUUACCACAUGACUCUGGAGGUUUUCUUGUAUUCUGAUGUGGCUGCCCUGUUGAGGCCUGCCCCUUAGAGUGGAGAUUAUCCCCUGCAGUAGGCUGCCUGGAAUAUGAUCCCCAGUGAUCCCUGCUUCCUGGUAUUCAGGCCCUGGUGUGAUCCCUUUCCCUUGAAGCCUGGGCUGGAUUAGUGACUUGCUUCUAACCAACAGCAUAUGGCAAAAAUAAAUGUUUAUUGUUUUAAA